UACGGGGGGGGCAAGCGUUGUUCGGAAUUACUGGGCGUAAAGGGCGCGUAGGCGGCCUGCUAAGUCGGACGUGAAAUCCCUCGGCUCAACCGGGGAACUGCGUCCGAUACUGGCGAGGCUUGAAUCCGGGAGAGGGAUGUGGAAUUCCAGGUGUAGCGGUGAAAUGCGUAGAUAUCUGGAGGAACACCCGUGGCGAAGGCGGUUCUCUGGGACGGUACUGACGCUGAGACGCGAAAGCGUGGGGAGCGAACAGG
Molecule: ribosomal RNA, 254 nt
Filed under: uncultured bacterium
Lineage: Bacteria
Description: partial 16S ribosomal RNA
Rfam family: Bacterial small subunit ribosomal RNA
Source: RNAcentral